This is a long non-coding RNA of Lolium perenne, 1048 nucleotides long. RefSeq lists it as uncharacterized. Lineage: Eukaryota; Viridiplantae; Streptophyta; Magnoliopsida; Poales; Poaceae. The record is from RefSeq and is a predicted model, not a curated record.
AUCGUCUCCUCCCCAAUCCCCUCCUCAUCGUCCGCCGCCACAGCCGCUCGCGCCGUUUAGCCGGCCGCCAAACUCCUCUCCGCCCCUGCUUCUCGCUGCCGGCGACUGCGGCCGCUGCUGCGCCAUCCCCGCGUUCGCUUCGUCCUCACCAUUCAAUCCCCUGCCGCAUACCGAGGCGGAGCAGCAGUGUGCACCUGCUCGUCGUCUCCAUCCCCGACGGCUGCCCGACGGAACCAGCAGCUUGCCGCUUAUUUGUCGCCCCCGACGGAAGCAGCGCCCCGCCUCAUCUUCACCAUCGCUGGCGGCUGCCCGACAGAAGCAGCAGCUCGCUGCCUCCUCAUCAAUGUUGGAGGUCUGGUAGCAAAUUCCUUCCUCCUGCAACUGCACUUCGCGUCCUCCAGCCCCAGUGCCCCAAAUCAUGAGAGAGGAGAUGGGUGGAGAAUGAACCAGAGGCUACGUAUCCAGUAUCCUCCAUCUCUGGUCCCCUUUGUGUGUGCUUGAGGUAAAUUGUGUCUCCUUUAAUUCCUGGUAUGGGUUACUUAAAUUAAUUCAGUAUCAAAGAUGCUUCGAGUGGUGAGGAACUUGACUGCUUCAUCAUAGAGAUGUUGAAGAUCUACUGUGCUUACAGUAUAAAGGUAAAUAGAAUUUCGGUAAAUCCAUCUUGAGCUAUUUUCCUUGAAUGGUAUAAUACAACAAUGUUUGAUUCUGAUCUCAGCAUUACUUUUCAGUUGCCUACAAUAUUGUUGGAUUCCUUUCUCACAUCAAAAUAUAGGUACAUGUCACCCUUUUAAAUCAGUCCACAUUGUAUCUACAUAUUAAAGUAUUUUUAUUUCAAUAUACAAUAUAGUAUACAUGGUUUCAGCCUUUUAGAUGUUGUGUAGAGUGGAUACCUUAGGUUUAAUUUCUACGGUAAUAAUUGCUAUAAUGGCAUGUUAAACCUGGUGCAUCUACGUAUGGUAAAUUUUCUUUCCCUAUAAAUCUGAGACACCUUUUUUUUUUUUUUGGGAAGUGAACCUGGUACCUGUUUUAUUUAAAGCCAUGUUAAACC